GCAGGUAUAGCUCAGUGGCAGAGUGCAUGGUGAGUAUGCAUGAGGUCCUGGGUUCAAUCCCCAGUGACUUCA
This 72-nucleotide transfer RNA is filed under the name Camelus bactrianus (Bactrian camel). It matches the Rfam family "tRNA". Rfam says of the family: Transfer RNA (tRNA) molecules are approximately 80 nucleotides in length. RNAcentral also lists the same sequence under 1 other name. The record is from Rfam by way of RNAcentral. Lineage: Eukaryota; Metazoa; Chordata; Mammalia; Artiodactyla; Camelidae.